This 301-nucleotide ribosomal RNA is filed under the name uncultured bacterium. RNAcentral describes it as "partial 16S ribosomal RNA". It matches the Rfam family "Bacterial small subunit ribosomal RNA", at positions 509 to 807 of the family's 1533-position model. The record is from RNAcentral.
CAGUCGCCGCGGUAAUACGAAGGGUGCAAGCGUUAAUCGGAAUUACUGGGCGUAAAGCGUGCGUAGGCGGUGAGUUAAGUCUGCUGUGAAAUCCCCGGGCUCAACCUGGGAACUGCAUUUGUGACUGGCGGGCUAUAGUAUGGCAGAGGGGGGUAGAAUUCCACGUGUAGCAGUGAAAUGCGUAGAGAUGUGGAGGAAUACCGAUGGCGAAGGCAGCCCCCUGGGCCAAUACUGACGCUCAUGCACGAAAGCGUGGGGAGCAAACAGGAUUAGAUACCCGCGUAGUCCCUGUCUCUUAUAC